GGUGUAGGUGGCGCGCUAAGUCGGGUGUGAAAUUUCGGAGCUUAACUCCGAAACUGCAUUCGAUACUGGCGUGCUUGAGGACUGGAGAGGAGACUGGAAUUCAUGGUGUAGCAGUGAAAUGCGUAGAGAUCAUGAGGAAGACCAGUGGCGAAGGCGGGUCUCUGGACAGUUCCUGACACUGAGACACGAAGGCCAGGGGAGCAAACG
This 207-nucleotide ribosomal RNA is filed under the name uncultured bacterium. Its description in RNAcentral is "partial 16S ribosomal RNA". It matches the Rfam family "Bacterial small subunit ribosomal RNA", at positions 568 to 774 of the family's 1533-position model. The record is from RNAcentral.